GACGAACGCUGGCGGCGUGCUUAACACAUGCAAGUCGAACGGAAAGGCCCUGCUUUUGUGGGGUGCUCGAGUGGCGAACGGGUGAGUAACACGUGAGUAACCUGCCCUUGACUUUGGGAUAACUUCAGGAAACUGGGGCUAAUACCGGAUAGGAGCUCCUGCUGCAUGGUGGGGGUUGGAAAGUUUCGGCGGUUGGGGAUGGACUCGCGGCUUAUCAGCUUGUUGGUGGGGUAGUGGCUUACCAAGGCUUUGACGGGUAGCCGGCCUGAGAGGGUGACCGGCCACAUUGGGACUGGGAUACGGCCCAGACUCCAACGGGAGGCAGCGGUGGGGAAUAUUGCACAAUGGGCGGAAGCCUGAUGCAGCAACGCCGCGUGCGGGAUGACGGCCUUCGGGUUGUAAACCGCUUUCGCCUGUGACGAAGCGUGAGUGACGGUAAUGGGUAAAGAAGCACCGGCUAACUACGUG
RNAcentral lists this ribosomal RNA (468 nucleotides) under uncultured bacterium. RNAcentral describes it as "partial 16S ribosomal RNA". It matches the Rfam family "Bacterial small subunit ribosomal RNA", at positions 28 to 507 of the family's 1533-position model. The record is from RNAcentral.